CCCAGGGUUACUGAGGGGAGGCCCAGGUGACAGCAGUCCCAGGGUUACUGAGGGGAGGCCCAGGUGACAGCAGUCCCAGGGUUACUGAGGGGAGGCCCAGGUGACAGCAGUCCCAGGGUUACUGAGGGGAGGCCCAGGUGACAGCAGUCCCAGGGUUACUGAGGGGAGGCCCAGGUGACAGCAGUCCCAGGGUUACUGAGGGGAGGCCCAGGUGACAGCAGUCCCAGGGUUACUGAGGGGAGGCCCAGGUGACAGCAGUCCCAGGGUUACUGAGGGGAGGCCCAGGUGACAGCAGUCCCAGGGUUACUGAGGGGAGGCCCAGGUGACAGCAGUCCCAGGGUUACUGAGGGGAGGCCCAGGUGAUAGCAGUCCCAGGGUUACUGAGGGGAGGCUAAGGUUACAGCAGUCCCAGGGUUACUGAGGGGAGGCCCAGG
This is a long non-coding RNA of Oncorhynchus keta (chum salmon), 434 nucleotides long. RefSeq lists it as uncharacterized. Lineage: Eukaryota; Metazoa; Chordata; Actinopteri; Salmoniformes; Salmonidae. The transcript is spliced from 3 exons. The record is from RefSeq and is a predicted model, not a curated record.